RNAcentral lists this transfer RNA (74 nucleotides) under Vallisneria natans. Its description in RNAcentral is "tRNA-His". It matches the Rfam family "tRNA". From Rfam's summary of the family: Transfer RNA (tRNA) molecules are approximately 80 nucleotides in length. Their secondary structure includes four short double-helical elements and three loops (D, anti-codon, and T loops). The record is from RNAcentral. Lineage: Eukaryota; Viridiplantae; Streptophyta; Magnoliopsida; Alismatales; Hydrocharitaceae.
GCGGAUGUAGCCAAGUGGAUUAAGGCGGUGGAUUGUGAAUCCACCAUGCGCGGGUUCAAUUCCCGUCGUUCGCC